GGCUGAUAUCAGAUGGUGACUUUGAGACCUGUGGCUCAGCAACUCUAGCAUGCAGAUCUGAGGUCAACAUGCAGACCUCUGUGAAGUUUACUAGCAGACUGGCCACAGCUUGCUGCACUGGGUUAAAGAUAUAGGCCUUGGUGUCUCCUCAUCUGAGAGCAGGUAGAUUGCCUUUUCUUUGCUCUCUGCUCCCCUUCCUGGUGCCCUGGCAGUGGGGACAAAGAAGACGACACACUAGAAUGGAGAGAGUUCACAUUAUAGAGGAAAACAGCCUACUACUGCUACUGGUUAAUCUAACUGCAGAGUUGAGGUCUAUGCUGUAGAAGUGAAGAUCAGAACCCUGUUGAUGAACUGAGGAUCAAUGUGGUUUAACAUGAUGGAAUUAAUUUUUUCAGUUUGUUUAGGAAAUCACAUUGAGAAAAACAUUAAACAAAUGUGAAGUAGAACUUCAUUAUGUACCAACACGUUGGCUUUAUAGCCAACUGCAUUCACUUACUGCAUUGAACUUUUUGCUUAAUUGUGUUUUAAAA
Mauremys reevesii (Reeves's turtle) is the source of this 530-nucleotide long non-coding RNA. RefSeq lists it as uncharacterized. Lineage: Eukaryota; Metazoa; Chordata; Testudines; Geoemydidae. The transcript is spliced from 3 exons. The record is from RefSeq and is a predicted model, not a curated record.